RNAcentral lists this ribosomal RNA (1359 nucleotides) under Triticum aestivum (bread wheat). RNAcentral describes it as "partial small subunit ribosomal RNA". Lineage: Eukaryota; Viridiplantae; Streptophyta; Magnoliopsida; Poales; Poaceae. The record is from RNAcentral.
AUGGGGACGUGUAGCUUAGUGCGGAUGAUGAGCUUACUGCAGCUAGACUUGAGAAUGUUGCGUAUGCUGCUGGCCCUUUCUCCCCCUCCCAGUUCACACUGGAAAUUCAGAAAACACCCGCCAUUGAUGCUGAUGGAGACCGAGACCGUGGUGGAAAUAUUGCCGGAGACGCCGCUGAUGGAGACCGAGACUGUGGUUGAAACACUGCUGGAGCUGCCGUUGGAUGUAUUGAUGGAUAUCUUUUCCCUCCUGGAGCUUCCUGACCUCAUUCGUGCGAGCUUUGUGUGCUCCUUCUGGCGCUCUGCUUAUAGUAGUCUACAUAACCAGCUUGGGCAAUAUAAGCGGCCCCAGACACCUUGCCUCCUCUACGCCUCCGAAGCUGAUGGUGAGAACGGAGCUUGUCUCUACAGUCUUGCAGAAAAGAGGGUCUACAAGCUAACUCUUCCGGAUCCACCUAUCCGUAGUAGGCAUCUCAUUGGGUCCUCCUAUGGCUGGUUAGUUACUGCUGAUGAGAAGUCUGAGCUUCACCUUCUCAAUCCGAUCACUGGUCAACAGAUUGUCCUCCCCUCGGUGAUCACCAUUGAGCAAGUAGAGCCGAUCUUAGACAGUGCCGGUGCAGUUAAUAAUUAUAAGAUGUGGGAUUUAGAGCAGGACGAUGAUCCUAAUGAGUUUCCUGACUGCCUCUGCAUCAGGGCUUUUGUGUUUCCUGAUCCACCCACGGGAAGCUACAUUGUGGUUCUCAUCCACAAUCCAGAGCGAUAUCUUUCGUUUGCAAGGGUAGGUGAUUAUAAGUGGACCUCCCUGCCAGGUGAGAACUAUGAACAAUGCAUCCACAUGGAUGGUCUAUUGUAUGCAUUCACAGAAACCGGAGGAGUCUAUACUUUUGAUCUGACCGGUCCUACCAUCACAAGGAAUAUCAUUGCAGAGGAGAUGGAGAAUUACAUUAGUGCGACUGAUGGGCACAUGUACGUUGUUCAGGCUCCAUGGGGUGAUAUGUUGCAAGUUUGCAGAGACACUGAAUGCACAGAGGGGUUCACAAAGACUAAGAAAAUGAUGUUAUAUAAAACUGAUAUGGCAGCAAAAGAGCUUGUGGAAAUGCAUGGCUUGCAUGAUCAUGUGUUGUUUCUUGGGCGUAGUCAGUUGCAAUGCCUCAGUGCUGAGGAAUACCCGCAACUGAAGACAAAUUGUGUUUAUUUCACAGACGACAUGACAUAUAUUUCGAAGUAUAAGAAUGAUGACCGGGAUAUAGGUAUUCUCAACUUGGAAAAUGGCAGCAGGGAAGAAAUUGUACCUCAGCUUUGGUGCAACUGGCCAAAUCCCAUAUGGAUAACACCAAAUCUCAUGAGGAUGAAUAUGUGA